CCAAUAGCGUAUAUUAAAGUUGUUGCAGUUAAAAAGCUCGUAGUUGAAUUUCGGGGUUCUACCGUUGGUCGGGCUUUGUCUGUACUGGCGUGUAGAAUUUCUACCUUCUGGGGAACCAUCAUGUUAUUAAUUUAACGUGGUGGGAAACCAGGACCUUUACCUUGAAAAAAUUAGAGUGUUCAAAGCAGGCUUAUGUCUGAAUACAUUAGCAUGGAAUAAUAAAAUAGGACGGUGGUCCUGUUUUGUUGGUUUCUGAAUCACCGUAAUGAUUAAUAGGGAUAGUUGGGGGCAUUAGUAUUCAAUUGUCAGAGGUGAAAUUCUUGGAUUUAUUGAAGACUAACUUCUGCGAAAGCAUUUGCCAAGGAUGUUUUCAUUAAUCAAGAAUGAAAGUUAGGGGAUCGAAGACGAUCAGAUACCGUCGUAGUCUUAACCAUAAACUAUGCCGACUAGGGAUCGGAUGAUGUUAAUUUUUUAAUGACUCAUUCGGCGCCUUACG
This 496-nucleotide ribosomal RNA is filed under the name uncultured Glomeromycotina. RNAcentral describes it as "partial small subunit ribosomal RNA". It matches the Rfam family "Eukaryotic small subunit ribosomal RNA", at positions 591 to 1092 of the family's 1831-position model. Lineage: Eukaryota; Fungi; Glomeromycota. The record is from RNAcentral.